CAAAUGUUAGACAAACACGAGUGAUUGAGAUUGAAGAAAGACUGGAGUAGUUACUGUGGAGAAUGCAAAAGGAUGGUUAUUCAAGGUACAGGGACCCCGCUUCUCCUUGAUGGCAGGAUUGAUCAUCACAACCCUUUUCUGACAAUUGACCUAGGAGCACAGGAGGCAAAGAAUAAUUGACAGAAGGUAUAGAAUUACAACCUUGACAGCCAACAUUAUCUACAGAAGAAGGAGAAACAGGAAUUUCCUGCUGAGAUAAUUUACCACCUUCAGAGUAUAGACUUGUCUUCUAUUAAUCUAUAGAGGAAAGCUAUGCAUCCCUCCAGCAAACUAUGAAUAUGUCCAAAAAGUGUUUUCAGGUUGUUCUGUAUUUUUUUUCAACAUAUUAGCUGUCCAAGGGAAAAAGAUAGAAGCAGAGCCAUGAUAAGCAAAUGAAAAAAUUUAAAAAUAUAUAUUUAUAGUAACAAGGUCUAAAUUGGGAGAAUAUCUGGUUUUCCAAAAUGAAUACAAGGGACUCUAGAAAAAUAAUGAAAAACAUUCAACAAUAACAGUCAGCUGAUGGUAACUGAAAAUAUAUUAUACACAGGAUGUGAAAUCUUCAUGUAUGGACGAUCAGCUUUUUGUAUACACAGAUUUAGCAGGUCUUUUCACUACUGUAUUCUGAUUGCAGAAGGAAACCAUUCAGUCUUUCACCA
Molecule: long non-coding RNA, 695 nt
Filed under: Homo sapiens (human)
Lineage: Eukaryota; Metazoa; Chordata; Mammalia; Primates; Hominidae
Description: HSALNT0336831
Source: RNAcentral